RNAcentral lists this ribosomal RNA (242 nucleotides) under uncultured bacterium. RNAcentral describes it as "partial 16S ribosomal RNA". It matches the Rfam family "Bacterial small subunit ribosomal RNA", at positions 93 to 334 of the family's 1533-position model. The record is from RNAcentral.
GGCGGGCGGACGGGUGAGUAACGCGUGGGUAACCGUGCCUCAUACAGGGGGAUAACAGUUGGAAACGGCUGCUAAUACCGCAUAAGCGCACAGUACCGCAUGGUACGGUGUGAAAAACUCCGGUGGUAUGAGAUGGACCCGCGUCUGAUUAGGUAGUUGGUGGGGUAACGGCCUACCAAGCCGACGAUCAGUAGCCGACCUGAGAGGGUGACCGGCCACAUUGGGACUGAGACACGGCCCAA